GCAAAGACAGAGAGAGAGAUCCAAACUCGGAGGGGAUCUUGUCCUCCGGGAGCCAUGUCGGCCAUGGACCAGAGGGGAGACUCUCCUCCCAUCUAGGAGGGAGACCAAGGAAUAAGAAGAAGGAGGGUGACUCUCUCCUUAAUGCCAUAUAUUAUUAUCCAAUGAUGUGUUGGAAAUAUGCCCUAGAGGCAAUAAUAAAG
This 200-nucleotide long non-coding RNA is filed under the name Hordeum vulgare. Its description in RNAcentral is "long non-coding RNA (HVUL_LNC016690)". The record is from RNAcentral. Lineage: Eukaryota; Viridiplantae; Streptophyta; Magnoliopsida; Poales; Poaceae.